Molecule: long non-coding RNA, 363 nt
Organism: Helianthus annuus (common sunflower)
Lineage: Eukaryota; Viridiplantae; Streptophyta; Magnoliopsida; Asterales; Asteraceae
Exons: 3
Source: RefSeq, a predicted model, not a curated record
UUGUUGUCAUCGAUUGUCAUCAAAGUUGAAAUCAGCUUAGCUGCGGAUAGAUUUCUGCCAUAAGCUGUUGAAGGGAUCAUUUGAGUGAAAUCAAUGUUGAUUUAUCAGAAGAUGCAGUUGAAGAUAUCUUAAUUAAGGAUGUAAUACAAUUAUAAAGACUGAUGGUUAUAACAGCUGAUCAUGCUAAGGACUGUUAUAAUUAACCACUGCUCCUUAUAAACACUGAUGGACUUAAAUACUGAUAAGGCCUAUCCACUGAUGUAGACAAAUCUCUGUUAAAGUUCCAUGUGCUAAGGACUGUUAUAACUAACCACUGCUCCUUAUAUAAUCAUCGUUCCAGUAUCAUUGUUCCAACAUCGUUGU